AUGCGUUUGUUGAGAUGGAUGUGUGGCCACACGAGGAAGGAUCGAGUCCGGAAUGAUGAUAUACGAGAUAGAGUUGGGGUAGCACCAAUUGAAGAGAAGCUUGUCCAACGUCGUCUGAGAUGGUUUGGGCAUAUUCAGCGCAGGCUUCCAAAAGCUCCAGUGCAUAGCAGAUGGCUAAAGCUUGCGGAGAAUGUCAAGAGAGGGCGGGGUAGACCGAAUUUGACAUGGGAGGAGUCCGUUAAGAGAGAUCUGAAGGAUUGGAGUAUCACCAAAGAGCUAGCUAUGGACAGGGGUGCGUGGAAGCUUGCUAUCCAUGUGCCCGAGCCAUGA
RNAcentral lists this ribosomal RNA (330 nucleotides) under Triticum aestivum (bread wheat). RNAcentral's name for it is "partial small subunit ribosomal RNA". Lineage: Eukaryota; Viridiplantae; Streptophyta; Magnoliopsida; Poales; Poaceae. The record is from RNAcentral.